UGGGGAAUAUUGCACAAUGGGGGAAACCCUGAUGCAGCGACGCCGCGUGAGCGAAGAAGUAUUUCGGUAUGUAAAGCUCUAUCAGCAGGGAAGAAAAAAAUGACGGUACCUGAGUAAGAAGCACCGGCUAAAUACGUGCC
This 140-nucleotide ribosomal RNA is filed under the name uncultured bacterium. Its description in RNAcentral is "partial 16S ribosomal RNA". It matches the Rfam family "Bacterial small subunit ribosomal RNA", at positions 355 to 509 of the family's 1533-position model. The record is from RNAcentral.